GGGGCUGUAGCUCAGUGGUAGAGCACUUGCCUUGCACAAGUGAGGCAUUGGGUUCAAUCCUCAGCACCA
This 69-nucleotide transfer RNA is filed under the name Ictidomys tridecemlineatus (thirteen-lined ground squirrel). RNAcentral's name for it is "Spermophilus tridecemlineatus (thirteen-lined ground squirrel) tRNA". It matches the Rfam family "tRNA". From Rfam's summary of the family: Transfer RNA (tRNA) molecules are approximately 80 nucleotides in length. Their secondary structure includes four short double-helical elements and three loops (D, anti-codon, and T loops). Further hydrogen bonds mediate the characteristic L-shaped molecular structure. tRNAs have two regions of fundamental functional importance: the anti-codon, which is responsible for specific mRNA codon recognition, and the 3' end, to which the tRNAs corresponding amino acid is attached (by aminoacyl-tRNA synthetases). tRNAs cope with the degeneracy of the genetic code in two manners: having more than one tRNA (with a specific anti-codon) for a particular amino acid; and 'wobble' base-pairing, i.e. permitting non-standard base-pairing at the 3rd anti-codon position. Lineage: Eukaryota; Metazoa; Chordata; Mammalia; Rodentia; Sciuridae. The record is from Rfam by way of RNAcentral.